This is a non-coding RNA of Nicotiana tabacum (common tobacco), 4626 nucleotides long. NCBI's taxonomy places the organism in Eukaryota, Viridiplantae, Streptophyta, Magnoliopsida, Solanales, Solanaceae. The record is from RefSeq and is a predicted model, not a curated record.
ACUGAAGAACCAGAGCUUCUUUCUGGGCUAAUUUUCCCAACAGUUCACCAGAGAUUUCUUUGAGGUUCGGUAAUUCUCUCUAUUUCUUUUUCGUUUUCCUUUUCUGGGUAAGUUUUAUUUUCGUUGAAUAAAGCAUUUUUUUUCUCGCUUGUUAGUUGUUACAUGAGCUUGUGAUAUAGCUACAGUUAAUUUAGGACCGGUUAAUGCAAAGAACUGAAAAUCAGAAAACCAAGGUCCACUAUGAAAUAUAUCAUAUUGGUUAGAAGGGAUGUUUUAUCAGUGGAGAAUUAGAAAUAGCUGAGUAAGAUGAUAUUAUGAUGUAAUGAGCCUCUGAGGGUUGUGAACUCCCCAGAUGGUGGAAAGCUAUAGAAAUUUAGAAAGUCCACUAUGUAUACAUACUAUAUUUUGACACUCCUUAGUAAAAUUUCUGGCUCCGCCACUAGUGGUGGCUGGCGACAGCGACGAGUAGGAACUUAUAUGAGGUAACUGCGAAAGCAGGAGAAGAAACAUUUCACAAUAUGGAUAAUUGGUUGGCACCCAAGCUUUGGUUCAGUGGUAACGAUGCAAUGUAGGAUAUGUGAGUAUGGUACACUUUUACGAGCUUGAACCCUACUGUUGACUGAAAUAUGGUUUUUUAGUGGGAGUAGGGUAGAGCCCUCGGGGCAUACUCUUCGAGUUUUGAACCUGUGGAUCUACUGGAGUUGGGUCCGCUAACUCUUUCUCCGUUGUUCGUAAAUAAGACGGAUAAUUGGGUGGGAAACAUAGGGUAGCAUGUGGGGGGUUUGCAGAAGCUGAAUUAUUUAACCAUAGGCUUGAGCAGUGACUGGGCUACCAUGUUAGAUUUAGCCGAUAGAGGCAAACUGUUACUCCUAUUUUGUAUCAGGAAUUAAAGGGGAGUAUCCAUUUGAUAUGAUGCUUCUUCUCAAGUACCAUAUAUAUGUUGAUUAUGCUCCAUUUGACCACAUAUUUGAUUCCUCAUUUCCUCUAAAUCUGCUCCAGACAACUGAAGCAACACUAUUGGCAUGCUCAAUUAUCUCUUAGCUUUGCUAUUUUAGGCUCUUUCACACGUCUUGAUAAUAUUUUCUUUGUUCAUUAAUAAAUCGAGUAAUUAAACUCAUGUUUCUAUAAUCAAUUCAAUCCCAAGAGGAAAUCGUUGAUGCAUAAAAAAUUGUUAAAAGUCUAGAAGAUCUACCUCUGUUGUGGUCUGGAUUAUAAGAUGCUACAAUCCUACCUUCCAAAUUGAUUCAGAUGUCAACUUAUAAUAUAAAAUUUGUACCAUUCGAGUAAGGUUAUGCAUGAUUCAAGUUGGGAAGCUAGAUCACGCCAAUCCUACUAUUUGUGCCGAUCUAUGAGUUUUCUUCGCUUUGAUGUUUUAUUCAAAACUGUAGCUUCUAUAAUGCAUACUACAAAAUCUGUCAAAAUUCACUUAGUUACAUUGUCUGAAAAACAUGGUGUCUGGACCAGCGGACCUUCAUUUCCUGGCAUUAGUAAUAGCAGUUAAGAGGGCAGAAGGUAUAGCUGGCUGAAUAACCUAGAGCGCUGGCAUUAUAAGUAAUUGAUAAUUUGCUUAAUAUGGCACUAUUGGAUUUCUUAACAUUGUACAAAGUUAGACUACUGUAUGGAGAUUACACAAAAUACAUCUAGUCAAUUGAAGGGGAGCCUUGGCGUAAUUGGUAAAGUUGCUGCCAUGUGACCAGAGUAGGUCACGGGUUCGAGCCGUGGAAACAGCCUCUUGCAGAAAUGUAAGGCUGCAUACAGUAGACCCUUGUGGUCCAGCUCUUCCCCAGACCCCGGGCAUAACGCGAGCUUAGUGCACCAGGCUGCCCUUUAGUCAAUUGUACAAGCUUAAUUUUUCCAGAAAGCCAUAAAUGUCAAUCUGGGAUUUUAGAUAUUUAUCGCUUGCUUUACAAGUUUGUAUACAGAGUAAUUGAAACUUGAUGUUGAAAAAUCUUCACCUAGCAAUAUCCUUCUUUCAUUCCAACCAGAUAAUCCAAAAUAAGCAUUUCGGAGACCCUCCAAAUUUCCAUGUUUUCUCCAACACCCAAACUGUUCCAAGUCAAGAGCACAUCUUAACUAACUGGGGCUUGCUUAUCCCCAGUAGUUACAAGUCCAUAGACAAUGGAUUAAGAUAUUGUUGCUUCUUUAACAAAAGAUGCAGGAGUCAACAUGGAUUUUGUGCCUCUUUCUGGGUACUUUGGUGCAGCUUUCCCAGCGAACAGUUGCCUCCUUGCUGAAUAAAGUUUUUCAGAAUGUGCUACAAGGGGGCUCAGCUCUGUUCUAACUAAUUAUAGCACUUUAUAGAAUUAGUUAAUAGAGAAUUUCUGAUUGCUUCUUCGCUCCACAAAUGAACUGUCAGCUCCAAAAAGCGGAAUAUGAAACUACAGAAUAUACUCCCCAGUCGCUCUUAAACAGGAUGGAAAAUCAAUUUGCCUCCUCAUAGUGAACCAUACCUCGGUCUCUGCACUUUUUGGGGCCAUCAAGUAGUAGUAAUAAACAUGUUAUAUGAUUACUCUCACUGUUACACUACAUUCUCAUAUUAUUACUUCCUUUUUACCCAUGUUGAUUGGAUUAACUCAUAUCUAACAGUUAUUGUUUUGUUGACUUAUUUCGAGAUAGUCAAACAAUAAAUUUUUACCUACUUUUCUUUUAUUCUAAAAAGUUUAAUAUAUAUAAAUGUACAAAUUUAGUUCAAAGUAACACCGUUACCAAUAUAACCCAUGUAAAUUUGUGAUUCAAUAUGCCAUUACGUGAAUUGCACUUGCCUGAUGAUAAGAUAUAAAGAGUUUAUUUUGCUGAAGCUAACUCAUUCUUUGCCUGGAUGCAUGGGAACCGAAUGGAGUCCACUUUGGAGAUGGGAGUUCAACUUUCCUUGAACUCUAUUGGCUGCUGAUUACUUCUCCCAUGUCCAGCCGAAUGGUGCUUCGCUGCACCAACUCAUUUGCAUUAUCUCAACCUAAAUUUAAUGGGUGUUUCUUUCCGUUGAUAUACCACAUAAAUGUGUCAGCCUUGACGAGGCAUGUGCCCGCAACUGCUCUCUCCUUUUGUCAGCUUCAGGCAUCAAAACUUCAUGAUAGUCCAGUUACUGUUGCAAGUGAUGUUAGAUAUGGUGGUAAACAAAUUAUAAGUGUCGAUUCACCACUUUAUGACUACAUAUUGUCAAACGUUAGAGAACCAAAGAUUUUGCGUGAACUUAGGGAGGAGACAGCAACAAUGCGAGGCAGUCAGAUGCAGGUGUCACCGGAUCAAGCACAACUACUUGCUAUGCUCGUCCAGAUUCUUGGGGCAAAAAGGUGCAUUGAAGUGGGCACGUAUACUGGAUAUUCAUCCUUGGCUGUUGCUUUGGUCCUUCCAGAAGAGGGUCAUUUAGUUGCUUGUGAAAGAGAUGGCAAAUCAAUUGAAGUUGCAAAAAGAUAUUAUGGCCAAGCUGGCGUCUCACAUAAGGUGGACGUGAGACAUGGUCUGGCAGCAGAUACUUUGAAGUCUUUAAUUCAUAAUGGUGAAAGUUGCAGAUAUGAUUUUGCUUUUGUUGAUGCAGAAAAGAGAAUGUAUCAAGAGUACUUUGAGUUGCUGCUACAACUGGUGAGAGUUGGGGGUCUUAUUGUAGUGGAUAAUGUCCUAUGGCAUGGAAGAGUUGCCGAUCCACUGGUGAUUGAUUCCAAGACUCUUAGCAUCAGAAAUUUUAAUCAAAACUUGAUGGAGGAUAAACGCGUUGACAUCAGUAUGGUGCCUAUUGGUGAUGGUAUGACGAUCUGCCGAAAAAGAUAAAUCCUAAUACAAAGAGAUUGGAUGUUGAACUGCUCCAUACAGCCAUUUCAUGGUGGUUUGUUUAUUCUUUGGUGUAAGCUUCCACAUGCGGAGUCUUGGAGCAAUAGUAAAGUUAUAUCCGUGUGACUUAUAGGUCACGGGUUCGAGCCGUGGAAUCAGCCACUAAUGUUUGCAUUAGGGUAGGUUGUCUAUGUGUGGCCCUUUCCCGGAUCAUGCGUGAACGUGGAAUGCCUCGUGCACCAGGCUGCCCUUGGAGGCUGAAGUUUGUUUUGCGUUGAAGAUGGAAUUUCUCAUCAUUCUACUGAUACAGUUCAUAAAAAUCCUUCCGAUCUUUGUGGUUGGUACAAAGCAUGAUAGCAAAGGAUUAACCCUAAUUCAUAAGAACGCAGCAUGAAGAUAUGACAAAUGAUGCGAUAACAAUUACAGUACACCCUCCAGAUUGGGCUAGAGGAUCAUCUCCUUGAUUUUUAUCUGUUACCUGGUCUUAUUCAAAAGAAGAAAAACAACAAGUUAUCUGCUAUAUUCUUGAAUGUCACGAGGCUGCUUCCGAGUGACAUUUCAUGAUUAUCUUGUAGAUUGACAGAGUGAAGACAGCAGCAACAAAUACAUUCUUAUUUUCAAAUUUGCUCUAGUAUGGACAGGAAACGAGAAUUCAUUAUUACAAGAACACAUUGAUCUUACAUGGAGUUACUAGAAUAACCCCAGCAGCAGCAGAGCCAGCCUUGCUUUGGGAGACAAUAGAAUGUGUUCAUUUGCGUUUUUACUAGCUAACUUCCUAGGUAUAGCAUAAGCAACAAUACAAACUAACAGAUUCUUACACAUGAUGACUAUGCUAAUUGAUUAUAAGUCAUUAUUUGUCGA